GACGAACGCUGGCGGCGUGCCUAAUACAUGCAAGUCGAGCGGACCAAAGGGAGCUUGCUCCUGGAGGUUAGCGGCGAACGGGUGAGUAACACGUGGGCAACCUGCCUGUAAGACUGGGAUAACAUCGAGAAAUCGGUGCUAAUACCGGAUAAUAAAAAGAACUGCAUGGUUCUUUUUUGAAAGAUGGUUUCGGCUAUCACUUACAGAUGGGCCCGCGGCGCAUUAGCUAGUUGGUGAGGUAACGGCUCACCAAGGCGACGAUGCGUAGCCGACCUGAGAGGGUGAUCGGCCACACUGGGACUGAGACACGGCCCAGACUCCUACGGGAGGCAGCAGUAGGGAAUCUUCCGCAAUGGACGAAAGUCUGACGGAGCAACGCCGCGUGAGUGAUGAAGGUUUUCGGAUCGUAAAACUCUAGUUGUUAGGGAAGAACAAGUGCCGUUCGAAAGGGCGGCACCUUGACGGUACCUAACGAGAAAGCCACGGCUAACUACGUGCCAGCAGCCGCGGU
Molecule: ribosomal RNA, 511 nt
Filed under: uncultured bacterium
Lineage: Bacteria
Description: bacterial SSU rRNA
Rfam family: Bacterial small subunit ribosomal RNA
Source: RNAcentral